This 253-nucleotide ribosomal RNA is filed under the name uncultured bacterium. RNAcentral's name for it is "partial 16S ribosomal RNA". It matches the Rfam family "Bacterial small subunit ribosomal RNA", at positions 524 to 776 of the family's 1533-position model. The record is from RNAcentral.
UACGUAGGCAGCAAGCGUUGUUCGGAGUUACUGGGCGUAAAGAGUGCGUAGGCGGUCCUGUAAGUUUGGUGUGAAAUCUCCCGGCUCAACUGGGAGGGUGCGCCGAAGACUGCAGGGCUUGAGUAUGGGAGAGGUAAGCGGAAUUCCUGGUGUAGCGGUGAAAUGCGUAGAUAUCAGGAGGAACACCGAUGGCGAAGGCAGGUCUCUGGGCUGACACUGACGCUCAUGCACGAAAGCGUGGGGAGCAAACAGG